CCUCAUCCCCACCCAGAUGCAGAGCUACUCUGUUCAGGAGGAUGACGAGCUGCGUCCCCCUCUCCUGUCCCCCAGGACUAGACCAUCCCGAGGGGGCCAAGGGGGUGUCCUCAGCCACCUGCCUCUCCACUCCCAGCAGCUAGCCAGGACCGCCAACCUGCUGAUCCCCAUUGGGGGGAUCCACAUGGUACAGCCCAGGACCAGUCCACUCUACAGCUUGGUGACUAGCCCUGUGGCAGCAAAGGACACUCCUACUCCGGCAAGGAUGGACCAGUCCAUGACAGCCCAGAACACCCCUACCCCUUCAGAGAUGGACCGGUCCAGGAUCAGGAGAGCUGGACUGGACGAAGUGCCACUUAGUUGGCCUUCAUCAUUGAAGGACCAUCAGAACAGUCUGAAAGAGGCUGCUAGGCCUAGCACUAGCAUGCACACCAGUUACCAGGGCAACAGGGUAGGAGAGGGAGAGGCCGGGGCCAAGUGCAGACAGUCAACACCUCUCCCAGACAAGGCAGGUAUGGCCCAUGUACACGUGUGCACCAUGAGACCAGAGAAUCAUGGGAGUUUGAGUCGAAGGGAAGAGACUAAACUACUGUUCACUGGGACAGAGGUAGCAGGCAGCUCACACACUACAGGCACCCGGACAAGCACUUUGUCCAAGGGAACCACACCCACAGAAAGAGAUACAGAUACACACUUUAGAGAAGGAAGUGUUUUUCCAGUGACUACCCAAGGCCAAAAGGCGCUGCCUUCUUUCCAGACUAAACUCUGAUAGGAAGGAGCACCUUUAGGGAACAGUGUAACAGACUUGUCUUGGGGACAUCUGAUAUGGCAACGUAUUUCCUACAUAGGGGAUACGGUGCCAUUUCAGAGACAGCCAUGAUCGCAGAGCUAGAAACAAUUCUGGUUUUGAGACUGAAGAAGACAAAAGGAAUCCAAGAAGAGCACUCGGGAGUGUGAUUAUGUAAUUAUAUGAAUAAUAUAUAGAUAUGUUGAAUAUGCAGUAUAUGUUUUGUAAUCUUUUUUUACUCCCUUCGUUUGGUUAAUGGCAUUGCUGUUAAUGUAUUAUUGAUGUGCUCUUAUGCAAUUCGGUACUAUCCUCUGUGAGAUCUGGAAUGAAAUGUAGAUAAAGAUUUUAUUUAGUCAAUCUAUUCCCCCGUCGACCCCUUUGAUAACUCUAUAAUACAUUAUACUGCUCUUGCUGUUUUUAUACUGUACGAUGUACAGGUGUAAGGUCUUCAUUUGACAUAUAUUGUCACAGCAAAAUGAUCCUGCAGCAACAGGAUUUGAACGUUUAGACUAUAAUGUUGCUUGAUCGGUGGGUGGGCUGGUCAGAAGGAGGCUACAUGAAAAGUACAAUACUGUUACUAUAACCGUUUGUUAGUGUGGGGUUACAGUGAAUUUAUGUCAAUCAAAAAAGCUCAUCUGCAUUUCCUGCGGUGCAGGGAAAGUCUCGGCAACAAAAGUGUGGUCAAAUGAAGAUCCUACUCCUGUACAACCAAAUAUAGAAAGGUACUAGACAUCUCACCCUGACCAGUAUUUUGAAGUGCAAUUUCUGUCAAGAUUGUGGCUUGGAAUGUUAUUCUUAAUGGCUGUGAUUUUUUUGUUGAUUUAAAAGCUGGAAUCCUUGAUGGUGAAACCACCACGUCCGUGUGCGAUAUUACAACAACAAAGGAGUUACUGCAAACAACCAACACUGUUGUUUUUCCCUCGAACAUCAUUGCACGUGCGAUAGAACAGCAGAAUUUACAACGGUGGGCCGACGCUCCUCACCUCCGCUUCAUCAACAAAACUAAAACAACGGCCAAGGGGCAGACAGUGGCACCGUUUUCCAUACUGUGGAUUCCAUAUUUAAAGAUGGUUCAUUUUUUUAUAUGCUGCCUGGCUGUUUUGAAGAAUCAGGGUUAGAAUAAUAUCUUAUUUUCUACUAUCUCGUUGAGAGUAAAUCUUGGAAUAGGAACACGCGUUCGGGGUAGAAAAGCUAACUCCACUCAUUGAAUAUUCAUACAAAUAUAUCUUGUUUUGAUCAUCUGCUGUACAUGAUGCAGUCUAUAUUUAUUGCCAUAAACACAGUAAUAACAGGUCGUUUUUAUAAAGGAAGCAGUUUCCAUAUUUGUCGUUUUCAUGUGUCUUUUACCAUUAAAAUGAGUUUUUACAGAUUUAUAAUGAAA
Molecule: long non-coding RNA, 2168 nt
Organism: Oncorhynchus tshawytscha (Chinook salmon)
Lineage: Eukaryota; Metazoa; Chordata; Actinopteri; Salmoniformes; Salmonidae
Source: Ensembl